UUGGGAGGACNUGCUGUGCGCUUUUACNAGUGCCGGCUUUCCUUGCUUAGAUCUUCAAGUCUAUGUUUUUCAUAUACCCCAUUGUAUGUAACAGAAUGUAUCAAUGAGCCUUGUGCUUAUAAACUAUAUACAACUUUCAACAACGGAUCUCUUGGCUCUCGCAUCGAUGAAGAACGCAGCGAAAUGCGAUAAGUAAUGUGAAUUGCAGAAUUCAGUGAAUCAUCGAAUCUUUGAACGCACCUUGCGCUCCUUGGUAUUCCGAGGAGCAUGCCUGUUUGAGUGUCAUUAAAUUCUCAACCUUAUUGGCUUUUGCUGAUAAUGGCUUGGAUUUGGGGGUCUUUUGCUGGCUUUCACAAGUCAGCUCCCCUUAAAUGUAUUAGCUGGUGCCUCUGGUUAACCAUCUAUUGGUGUGAUAAUUAUCUACGCCGUGGAUGUUAGCCGUUUUAUAGGUGCACUGCUUCUAACCGUCUGUUCAUUCGGACAAUCUCAUUGACAUUUUGACCUCAAAU
This 509-nucleotide ribosomal RNA is filed under the name fungal sp. 25.18. RNAcentral's name for it is "eukaryotic LSU rRNA". The stretch from base 132 to 285 matches the Rfam family "5.8S ribosomal RNA". The record is from RNAcentral. Lineage: Eukaryota; Fungi.